Lolium rigidum is the source of this 5708-nucleotide long non-coding RNA. RefSeq lists it as uncharacterized. The record is from RefSeq and is a predicted model, not a curated record. The transcript has 12 exons. NCBI's taxonomy places the organism in Eukaryota, Viridiplantae, Streptophyta, Magnoliopsida, Poales, Poaceae.
GCCGCAGAAUUGUCUUUUCACGUCUCAUUUCCUCCUGCGUUGCUGUGGAGAGGACGAGCGUGGCGAUCUUCCCUUCGCCGGCCAUGGCGAACCCCCUCUGUACGCAUGGGGACAGAAUUGCAGACUCCCGUCCACAGCUCCUCCUCCCUUUCUCUUCCUCCCCGCUUCCUCUCUCCAGAACCCUAGCCGUCACCGUUGGUUUUCUCCAGAUCUCGGUUGAUUCCGUCGGCGGCAGCGUCGGCGACCAUGCGUGCCGCCCGCAGCCAGCCGUUUUGAUUCAUCUUCCAAGUACAGAGACAUGGAGGCUGAGCCGCCUGCUCCAUACUAUUGUGUUUAGCAGUCUAGCACUCCAGUGCAGUUUGUUGUUGCCUCGUGCCUAGGUGAAAAAAGUCAGGUCCAGUGGCGCACACGGUGAACCACUUCAAGAAGAGGAUUACUUUUUUUCAAUGACGCCAUCAUUCUCUCAUCUGGGUCACACCUCAAGAGUUCUUUGGUAGGUUAAUUAAGAUGUUAGAUUUUCCGAAACAAUUUAAAUUCAAAGUUUUGUUUUAAGAAUGUCUAAGAUGUUCUAAGAUGGGUACCAAAUCUUGGUGGUGCCGGAGUCAAUGGAGAAGGAGGCUGGUUUGGGGACGCGAUGAGCAGCAAGGUGAAGCUGGGAUGGCUGAGGCUCAGGGCGACUCCAACGAUGCUGCUGAUAGGAGGUGAGUGCUGGGGUCGCGGACACCAUCAUCAACCGUGAGGACCUGAUGGACAUCCACAUAUCGGCGUACCUGAACGCUAUAUGCUGGUGUCUCCAACAUCAGUCAAGCCUUGUAUCCUUGCCGAGCUUCACAUGGUAAAGCAAAAUGAUCAUGGUGCCUAACAAUCAGUGGUUGUUCAUGAGCAUCCUGACACAUCAACAAUGGCGUGAUCCCCAUGAGCAGGAUCAGAUGCCAGCAUGGUUGAUCAGCCCAGAAAGCACGCCUACUGGGACUGGUCAUGGGACGAGCUGGCCAUCAACGAUCUCUCGGCGAUGCUGCAGUCCGUGGACUACCUGUCAAACCAGCAGAAGGUGCACUACGUGGGCCACUCACUGCCCUGAGUGACCAGCAAGAGCAUAUAGGGAUGCUGUGGUCAGCCUGCCUGCUCACCCCAAUCGCUUUCCUCAACAAGGUCUCAUCGCCAUUGGCGCUCGGGGCAGCCGACCUGUUCCUGGCAGAGGCUCUGCACUUGAUAACAAAGAAUAGAUUAUUACACUGACUGUAUUACUUCAAGUCUCAAACAACAAUGAGUUCGAUUCAGACCAUCUUUUUCAAAUCAGAACUGUCAAUUGGGCCAACAAGGUGCAACAUGGAAUAGACUGCUACACUGACUGUAUUACUGAAACUCUCAAACUACCAACAAACAGGUGAAAAUUUCUUCCUUGAUAACUCCUCUGCUGAGACCUUCUUUGCUCAUUAGCCACAAGCUUGUUUUUCAGAAACAAACUGUCAAUUUUUUCAGAAACAAACAGACAAUUGCUGCCUUGACAAACUGUCUUUUUUUUCAGAAAUUGGUUUAGGUUACUAGCAAAUUUGUUCUUUGUAGAUUCUUUGAGGCAUAUUAUGAAUUAAUGGUCGGUGAAGUAUUUCAGUUAUUUGGCCUAUGCAUGGUUAACAGUUCUUGAGAAAGAGAAAGCGGGAGGGAGAGAAAGACAUAUGUGUUUGACUUUUUAAGACAUGAUAGAUAUCUUGAUGCGAUUUUACGUCUUCCACAUAAUAUUUAGUGAGAUUUAUUGCAGUUUUACACAACUGGAUGCUCUUUUCUUAUUUCCCUAAGAUGAACAAAUUUUUACCAAUACCAGUACCCUAAUGCUUACUUCUUGAUCAGGCCAAUGGCUCUUCUGAUGCAUAGUUUAAUUUAAUGUUAAAUAGCUGAAUACUCAUUUGUGUUCAUGUCUAUGAUACCAUUACUAAAAAUAGAUCAAAGGGCUCUUUUGUCCAAGAUGCACACAUGAUUACAUUGGCCACCGUGCAGUACACUUUAGUGCAACAGAAUAUAACUGCAACCUGUUAAAUUGAAAAAAAGAUGAUGACUUUUCUGUUUAGAGUUUAGAUGUUAAUAACUGAUUACAAGGACCAUGGCCAGAAUUCUGUCAGAGGUCGCCACUAUCAAUUGACAAUAGUCCUUUAACGUAGCUCAAUCAUAAGUACGAGAAGUUUACUUCUAAAAGAAGACGAAAAUGACUUUCAUGGUCACUCUGAGCAGUGUUUCCUUGGUACAUAGAUGAUAGUAGCCCUGCUAUUUUUAAUAUUUUCUUUCCAGGAAAAGAAAAUCUUAUGUUUUAGUAUAGUCAUUUCAGUCUUCCUCAAAGGACGGACGGGAUACAAUCUAUUGUGCAAGUUUUUGAUCUUCUUUUAGCACAUACAUGCACACAGUAGGCCAUGAAUUUCUUUUUACGGGUAGAAAUAGUUUUACAAGCCUAAAGCUAAGCUAGGAACUCCCACUGGUUUCCCACAACAUUGCCUAAAGCUUUGCUUCAUGACUGUAAUAAAGGUUGCAAUUUCAAAUAUUGUUUUGUUCUUUAUUUUGUGAACUCUUAGGCAUGUGCUAGAUUAGUGUUUAUGUUAAUAUUGUUGGUGCAAUGUAACAUCUACACUUGCACAACAAUUGAUGGCAGAACAUUCCUUGGUUCCUAUGAAGGCUGGUUACCGAAAGGAAUAACCUAGAAAGGACAAUUUUAGGAGGAAGGUUGACUAAAUUUUCUUUUUUCCAUACAUGCUGACUAAAGUAAUCCAUACCACGCAACUAAGCUCUCUUUUGUCUCAUGUUUAAAUAUGCGCUCCAUUGUUUGCAUAGUGUUUCUCCAUGUGCAAUUUUUCGUUACCUACUAGCAGUGGAUAGUAAACAACUAUGUGAUCGAAGUUUUUCAUCAUUAUAUUUAUAGGCUAUCACUAUAUCAUUCUAUAUUUACUAAGAAAUUACAUUUUUUGCAAGGUUUAUUACUUCUCAUAUGAUUGUACAGUCCUUGUAUCACUAGAUAAUAUCACGUUAGCUGCGUGUGUUCUGUUGCUUCAGGUUCACCCUUUUCAGCAGCCGCAAGGGAGAGUAGAAGUGGAGCUUCUGGUGGCCUGGAGUGAUCCGGCUGGCUGGACGUGCUCUUUCUUAUUUGAGCUAAUGCUGUUUCUUGCUGUAGAGAUGUGGUGUUCUGAAAGGCUUGAGUGUGUUUGUUGUGAUGCUGCGUGUUGUGUUGGUUCAGCUCAAGUCAGGCUACAUCUCUUUUUGUUAAUGAGCAUGGCAGCUAGAGAUGCCACCAGUCUUUAGCUUGCGUUUCUCGUUAUUUAAACAUGUGAUGGAUUGAACUAUAUUUUGAAAUCUCUGAUACCAAACAUUUGCUGUGUGAUGUAAAUGUCCAAAAAAUGGUAAAGGUCAUGUUAAAAAUUUGUAGAUAUUGAUUAAUUAGUUAACUGCUACUCCCCCCCUUAAUUUCCCUGGUUCUUCAUUGUUUGCUAUACUGUUUCUUUUCUAGCUAGCUUUUCAUUUCAUUGGCUGCUACUAGUUUGCAUUGGCUGGUACAUGGUACUGAUGCAUGUUUUCAUUGAAACUACAAACUACAUACAAUUACGACACUUCUUCUGAGCGACACGGGCAACCUGGAGGCUUGUGACUUUUCCAUCGCUUUUGGGAAGCAUUGUGUGGCAGCGUCUUGUUCCUCUGACUGUGUCUUUGUGGUUUAGGUGAGUAGUAUAGCUCUAGUGUAUUGUAUUAUCUUGGUCGUGUGUUGAGUAGAAAUAGAAACACCUUGUAGCGAUCUGGCUGAUGGAUAUGUCCUGGAAAUUUGAGGGUGUUGGUAAAGCUACCUAACUAUGUGUGUUAUCGUCAGCUCUCCAAGGCUUUAUACUCCCUCUCUCCUGAAUUAGAUGUCACAGAUUUGUCUAGAUUCACAUAUAUCUAUACACUAAACCGUGUGUACAUAAAUGUGCAUCUAGACAAAUCGGCGACAAGUAAUUUGGGACAGGGGGAGUAUUUCUUAUGGCUAUUAGCGUUUCCUGUUGCUGUUGCAUCCUAGCUAGGUGUGUAGUAGGAACGGUGGUAAAAAGUAUUACAACAUUUUAACAGUUGGGUCUUCAUUUGUGUCCCCCAAAUAAGGAAAGCUAUAAUGUUGCUGCCAUCUGCUUGUUCUGCACCAAUUAAUAAAGUAGGUACUAGGGACCCGUGUAUGGAGUAGGCAUUAUUAAGUAAGUAGUGCAUCAAUAAGUAUCAACAUCUGGUUAGUAUGCUAAAGUCCUAUCUUUUGAUAUCUGCAGCUUCAUCAGCCACUUUCUACGGUUUGGCACAAGUGCCCUGCACAGAGGAAUUCCGCCAUGAACCCUUAUGGACGAACAAAGGUACUACCAGCCAGCCAACACCUGUUUUGUGUUGCCCUUAUGGACGAAAGCCAACACUUGGUUUGUGUUGCCCUGGUCAUUGACGACAUUGAAGUUUUUUUUAUUUAUUUGGCGAAUGGACAUUGAAGAAAUUUGAUAUGAUUUGCCACGACAUCCAGUGCUCGGACCCUGAAUGGAAGAUCAUAAUGUUCAGUUACUUCACCCGGUCGGUGCUCACCCAAGUUGGUGUAAAUUGGUGGCAAUAAGUUGCCAGGAGGUGGCUCGUGAAAAUCUUGCUUUUUAUUAUGUUUUGUGGUAGAUGUCCAGAGUUUGAGAUGCAUAGAAAAUGCUGCUGGGUACUCUAUCAAUCCCUGAUGUGUGAUAUCCAAAGAAACUAUAAAUUUGACCGUACUAGAUUCUGACACUGAUGCUAGAAAUAUUUUUGCUAGUGGGAACCUGUCAACCAAAUGACUCGUAAUCUGUAAGUUAAAUGUUGUGCUGGCUGAUGAUGUCUUAUCUUCUUUUGCCUUGGCCAUUUGGCAUAGUAACAAUCAAGUCUCAUGAUGGCCGAACUAGUAAACAUCAUUGUGAUCAAAUAUAUUAUGUUCUCUUAGUAGGAAUCAGCUUCUAUGAAAUGAUGGAACAAUCCUCAUUAUUUUUGUGUCCGUCAUUUAGGACAUCUUCUGUGGCAUCCAGCGCUUGAACCCUGAUUGGGAGAUCCAUACUAUUCAGUUACUUCAACCCGCCCGGCUAUCACCCAAGUGGGUGUUAAUUGGUGGAAAUAAGCUGCUGGGAGGUGGCUCUUGUGUUCCUAUGAGAGAGAGGAUGAGCAUUGGUGCUGUCAAACUGGCUUGUACCACAGAAAGGAUCAAGUUUUCAGGUUGAAAGCCAGGUACAAGCUCUACCACAAGAUUGUGCAGUAAUGGCACCUUAUGCUAGGCUCUGAUGGCAACUAAUAAAGCAGAUUGUGCAGUAAUGGCACCUUAUGCUAGGCUCUGAUGGCAACUGAUAAAGCAGGUUCUCAAUAGCUACAGCAAGAUGGCCGUGUCAACUUGGAGCUGAACCCUGAUUUUGGAGACGCGGAAGGCUAUGCUGGAGUCCAAGAAGGCUUGGUUUAAAUUUGGUAGGAGGCCCAGCUGGCACUCAGAUGGAAUAGUUCAAAAGAUAAGAUGAAUGGCAAAAAAGAUGCCUUUGGAAACAUAUUUAUGGGAUGUUUUCCCAAAUAAUUUUGAGUGUGUUGAGCUUAUUGCAAGAUAAUGAACUCAUCUUAAUCCUUCCAUACAUCAGAAUUAGGACUAGGCAAAGACUUAAAUGGGAGAAAGGCCCAAUCUGAUGGUGGACUGUAAGCAAUAUAUGGAAUUACUAAGGCUUGUUGGCAAGCUC